RNAcentral lists this ribosomal RNA (492 nucleotides) under uncultured bacterium. RNAcentral describes it as "partial 16S ribosomal RNA". It matches the Rfam family "Bacterial small subunit ribosomal RNA", at positions 29 to 507 of the family's 1533-position model. The record is from RNAcentral.
AGUGAACGCUGGCGGUAGGCCUAACACAUGCAAGUCGAACGGAAGCACAAUAAGAUUUUGCUUUUACGGGUAGCGAGUGGCGGACGGGUGAGAAAUACAUAGGAAUCUACUUUUUCGUGGGGGAUAACGUAGGGAAACUGACGCUAAUACCUCAUAUGAUCUACGGGAUAAAUCAGUGGUUCUUCGGACCUUGCGCGAUUGAAUGAGACGAAGUCGGAUUAGCUAGUUGGCUGGGUAAAGGCACACCAAGGCGACGAUCCGUAGCUGAUCUGAGAGGAUGAUCGGCCACACUGGAACUGAGACACGGUCCAGACUCCUACGGGAGGCCGCAGUAGGGAAUAUUGGGCAAUGGGCGCAAGCCUGAUCGAGCAAUACCGCGUGAGUGAAGAAGGUCUUCGGGUUGUAAAGCUCUUUUGUUGGGAAAGAAAAACAGCAGAUUAAUAUCCCGCUGUUUUGACGGUACCCAAAGAGUAAGCAACGGCUAACUUCGUG